This 491-nucleotide ribosomal RNA is filed under the name uncultured bacterium. RNAcentral describes it as "partial 16S ribosomal RNA". It matches the Rfam family "Bacterial small subunit ribosomal RNA", at positions 29 to 506 of the family's 1533-position model. The record is from RNAcentral.
AGUGAACGCUGGCGGUAGGCCUAACACAUGCAAGUCGAACGGCAGCACAGUAAGAGCUUGCUCUUACGGGUGGCGAGUGGCGGACGGGUGAGGAAUACAUCGGAAUCUACUUUUUCGUGGGGGAUAACGUAGGGAAACUUACGCUAAUACCGCAUACGACCUACGGGUGAAAGCAGGGGAUCUUCGGACCUUGCGCGAUUGAAUGAGCCGAUGUCGGAUUAGCUAGUUGGCGGGGUAAAGGCCCACCAAGGCGACGAUCCGUAGCUGGUCUGAGAGGAUGAUCAGCCACACUGGAACGGAGACACGGUCCAGACUCCUACGGAAGGCAGCAGUGGGAAAUUUUGGACAAUGGGCGCAAGCCUGAUCCAGCCAUACCGCGUGGGUGAAGAAGGCCUUCGGGUUGUAAAGCCCUUUUGUUGGGAAAGAAAAGCAGCAGGUUAAUACCCCGCUGUUCUGACGGUACCCAAAGAAUAAGCACCGGCUAACUUCGU